Molecule: ribosomal RNA, 254 nt
Filed under: uncultured bacterium
Lineage: Bacteria
Description: partial 16S ribosomal RNA
Rfam family: Bacterial small subunit ribosomal RNA
Source: RNAcentral
UACGUAGGGAGCGAGCGUUGUCCGGAUUCAUUGGGCGUAAAGAGCUCGUAGGCGGCUUGGUAAGUCGGAUGUGAAACCUCCAGGCUCAACCUGGAGUCGCCAUCCGAUACUGCCAUGGCUAGAGUCCGGUAGGGGCCCACGGAAUUCCUGGUGUAGCGGUGAAAUGCGCAGAUAUCAGGAAGAACACCCGUGGCGAAGGCGGCUCUCUGGGACGGUACUGACGCUGAGACGCGAAAGCGUGGGGAGCGAACAGG